UCACUUGUAAUGAUUGUUUUGCUUGGCCCAAUUUUACGUUACAAUUUUUUUUUUUUAAAACGUUACAAUUUGACCUCUCUUUUGGAAAGAACAAAAAAAAAACUGAUUAAUUUGACAAAAAAAAAAAAAAAAAAAAAAAAAAAAAAAAAACUGAUUAAUAUUAGUUGAUAUUUCAGUUCUUGCAGCCAUUAAUAGCCAAGUAGGUUAUAUCAUAUAUUAUGAUCUUAAAAAAAUCCCAAUUCCUAAUGUGAC
This 252-nucleotide long non-coding RNA is filed under the name Capsella rubella. RNAcentral's name for it is "long non-coding RNA (CRUB_LNC003188)". Lineage: Eukaryota; Viridiplantae; Streptophyta; Magnoliopsida; Brassicales; Brassicaceae. The record is from RNAcentral.